Molecule: ribosomal RNA, 119 nt
Filed under: Fasciola hepatica (liver fluke)
Lineage: Eukaryota; Metazoa; Platyhelminthes; Trematoda; Plagiorchiida; Fasciolidae
Source: RNAcentral
UCGACCAUACCACGUUGGAAUCAGCGGUUCUCGUCUGAUUACCGAGGUUAAACAACGUCGAGCCCGGUUAGUACCAGUACGGGUGAGUGGCUGGGAAUACCGAGGGUUUGCGGCCGUUU